Long non-coding RNA from Zonotrichia leucophrys gambelii, 2178 nucleotides. RefSeq lists it as uncharacterized. The transcript has 3 exons. NCBI's taxonomy places the organism in Eukaryota, Metazoa, Chordata, Aves, Passeriformes, Passerellidae. The record is from RefSeq and is a predicted model, not a curated record.
UCUGGGACAGGAGCACAACUAGGGGAGACUGAGAGGACAUGUGAGGGGGAAAGAAUUUGUGUGUUUCAGGCAGGAUUUUAAUUUAUCUGAGCACUCAAUUGACCAGAAAGAGACAGAAAUGCCAUUGUACCAAAACCGCUUGGGAGCUCACCCUCCUUCCGGGAGAAAGCCGUAAGGUCAAAGCGAGGGGAAAUGGAGGCCUGGAGGGGAGCUUCGGAGGGAGACCGAGCUGCUGGAAUCUGCCGGGUCAUCCGCAGCCAGACACAGCACAGAAAGCGUGAAGUGCCAAGACUUACUGGGGUUUUACUGAGCUUGGUAGGAUAUCUGUCAGCCCUGUGUGAGCAAUUAGUGCUGAUUACCAGUUCCCUCUGCUGGCUGAGCUAACGAAGUUAUCCCUUCGGCUCUGCACGAGUGCUGCUGCUGCUGCAAGGGGUACCUGGCCCAAGCCCAGUGUCUGAGACAGCCGAAGGCUUUCCACGAGAAAAUUCCUGUGGGUUUCUGUGAAGAACCCACCUCCCGUUGCCACCAGCCCCACCACCCAGUCAGAACACAGACCCGAGGCAAAACCACGGCCUUGCUCCCCCUGCCAGAGAAAUCCUGCUUCACUCCCCGGCUGGAAGCUGAAAUAUGUCCUUCCCGUGCGUGGCUCGAGCUCCUCAGGAAAACUUCAGCUACAUCCAAAUUAAUAACUGAACACAAGCAUCCCAGCCUAAGACCGGGCUUACUGUGGGAACGACUGGAUGCUGGCAGCGAGAUUGGCUGCGGCGGGAGGUGAGCACGGCCAAGCUAAACAACCGCCGUCUGCUCCCAUGUCCUCCUCCUCCUCCUCCUCCUCCUCCUCCUUGUGAGCGGCAGCCCUUCACUGCUCACCAUGAGGCCGGGAUUGGGGAAUCCUGGUCAUUGGCCCUGCUAGCCAAGAGGUGAGGGAGCCCUUUCCACACCUGGACUUUGGGAUCUAAAAACACGGGAUACUCAAUGCACCUGGCUGCGUGCACUAUAAACCACUUUCACCUUCUUACUCGAGCUGUGGGAAUUUGCAUGCAAAAAGCCCCAUUAGGCCCCAUCAAAGGAUAUUUAGGUUGCUGGUGUUGAAUUACCAGAAGCAGGCAGUUUAGUUCUGAGUAGAAAGUGUUUCCCACUUAAAAGUGAAACGGUGUCAUAGGAAGGUUUCCCUCACCUGUAAAUAACAGUUGUACAGCUUUGCUUGCUGGGUCUUCACCACAAUGUUAAAAUUUAAUUUCUGUAAUGACAGGAGAUUGAGUUUCAGGAAAGGUAAAAUUUCAUCCUGGUUUUCUUUUUUUUUCAGUGUUAAAUAUUUUUACAGAAGGUGUUGACCAUCAUUUAUAGAUGUAUUGUUUCACCAUUACCAAGUGAAAUAAAUUUGGUUUAUGCUACAAAUAAUAUUAACCAACCAGACAACAAGGGCAAAAAAGCUUCAAACAGAAUCACUUCUCUACAAGUCCUUAUCCCCUUUGUGGUUCAAGAAACUGGCUCCAAUGAGCUUUAGAGACUAAAGAACUCCAUCAAGUUAAACAGAAAGAAGAGCAGCAGAAAGCACCACUACAGAGAAUAACUCAGGGGUUUCUUAUAUUACUCCACCCAGCAGUGCAUAAAGAAAACCUGUCUGAAACAGCAGAAAUCACCUAAUCAAAAAAGUGUAUGAAUUGCCUUUCCUUCAGCCUUCAGGUAAUAUAUAACAUACAAACAAACACACACACCCUGCCUUGCCCCAUCUUUUCCUUCCUGGACUAAGAAGCCCUGCCAGGUCCCUUCAAUCUCCCCAAACUCUGUGAAGAAUGGCCAUGAGCUGUCGUGCUGAGCAGUCACGCUCCUCCCAGAUCUGUGCAUGCACCAGACAUCACAGAUCUGGCAGUGCUCUGCCCCAUCAGACAGGAAUGACACAGUGUCAUAUGAUGCCACCAUCGGCAUCUUUUCCUGAUUCUGCUCCUCCCAGCACUCCAGGGAGAGCCCCUGAUGGGAGAAAACUCAAAGUGCCUUGAGCUCAGCUCCUGAGGCCACUGCUCAUCUCCUCUGCUGGAAUCCUGGAUUGGCACCAGGGCUGUGCAUUUCAGCUCAGCAUCACCACCACACAUGGCCAGGUGCCCAGAGUCCUGACCAAAACUAGACAUGCAAAUUAUUAAAACCACCACUGCUGCCACCAGAGUGCUGUACAAAAAU